Molecule: non-coding RNA, 424 nt
Organism: Ceratotherium simum simum (southern white rhinoceros)
Lineage: Eukaryota; Metazoa; Chordata; Mammalia; Perissodactyla; Rhinocerotidae
Source: RefSeq, a predicted model, not a curated record
AAGCAAGACUAGAAUAGAACAGAGAGCAGAGUAAGAAAAUGAUAGCUAAAAUACAGAAAAUCCAAAGCAGAAGGUUAAACAGAGAAAACUUAGAACAAAUGAGCCACAACCGACUCUAGAUGUCAGUGUUGUGCCAAAUAACAGCACCAGGGGCGGGGUGGGCAAGGCGCCGUUCUUGACAGUGCCUUGGCAAUACUGAUUUUUAACCAAUGUAGGAGGGAAAUAUCAGAUUUGGGGCUGAGUACAGCAAAGAUGUUUAUGGAAUUCAUUACCAUCUACCUAAGAAAAUAUGUUAUGGAUUGUUCUUUGAAAGCUACUUUGGUAUAAAAAAAUCUAUUUAAACUACCCACAAGUAUGUGUUCAUUAUUAAACAUGAAUUACAACUUAUUAUGCUUAUUUCAUUAAAAUAAACACUUCAAUGAAA